This is a long non-coding RNA of Aedes albopictus (Asian tiger mosquito), 3341 nucleotides long. RefSeq lists it as uncharacterized. The record is from RefSeq and is a predicted model, not a curated record. The transcript is spliced from 2 exons. Lineage: Eukaryota; Metazoa; Arthropoda; Insecta; Diptera; Culicidae.
UGGACCAUAGGUAGACAAUAGUCCUGUUCAACGACGUAGGUUGAACUUGCUCGAAGUUGCUGCAAGUAGAAUAACUAGCCACAGAAGUCCAAUGUCGCGACUAUUCUUGUGACUAACAUCUAGUUUGCCACGCCCUUACAGCGUCAGUAGCGGUACUAGAAGUGUCAAAUAAAUUUUAUUUACCAAAACAAAAGAUCCUCUAUCAGCUGGACAGUUAAAACAAUCAAUUAUUACAAUUAAAGUUAUAAAUUUAACUAAAUACGAAAAGUGCCUACAGCGCCAUUGGAGUUCUAGUGUAUUUCUAUUUUGCUGCAUCCUACUCUUACCCAUUUGUCAACAAACGGGAAAGAGCGGGAUGGAGCAAGUUCGAGCAAGUUCAACCCACGUCGUUGAACAGGACUAAUUUAUGAUAUUUUUUUUUUAUUUUGGAUGUACUCCGAUAAUUUACUUCGGAUUUUUCUGGUUAGAAAAUGAAAGGCCAUUCCCCCUGGAACAGGUGGUAGAAACUGUUUCGCUUUGAUUCGCAUUCUUCUAUCAAAUGUGAAGUGGUGUAGUGUAUAAGAUAGAAGAUCGUGGCACUCAAGGUCCUGGUAUCAAAUCUGAACCUAGGGCAACUUUUUUUUUUAAAUCAAAACAUUGUCAAUAAUGAAAUGAAGUAGAAUUCCAAUAAUAUUUAUUGAAGAGGCUUUGGAAGUUGUUUUCUUUAUGAUAUUCAAUUGGCUUCUUUAGCGGUGUUGAGAUAAUUCCAUAUUCUUAAUCUGCAUGCCAAACUGAGCCGAAAUCCAAAUUUUCAUGAAUUUUGGUGCCCGGGAACCUAUUUAAAAAUCAGUUUGAAGUUUGUAUGGAAGCGAUGUGCCGAAUGACCCCUCGUCGCCUUUUGUACUGGGCGGAGCUGUCAAGCAGUCGCUUAGCUGUUAAAAGGUGAUUUCAAAAAAUCUCUUUGAAAUUUAUUUUAGGUACAAAAAUAAAGUUUAAAAAUCUGAAACAAAUCAUAGUAGCUCAGAAAAAGGUGCUCUUUCGCAUAAAAUAAAAAAAAUCAAUACAUUUUUCAAAAUUUAAAAACCCAAUUAAUAUCGAAUUGAUUGAACAGUAGUAGGAGUGACUGUUCGAUAGCCGGAGAGCACCUUGCUGGUUCUUUCAGAUAUUGAACUCCGUCGGAUUUGUCGCGGACGAUUGAUAGGCACUUUAAUGAAUUUUGAACAUUUAUUUGCACCUGCCUUCUAUCAUGGACGACUUAAAACUAACUCAAUACAAAAAUGGUUAACAAUGCGAAUGGACAGAUUCAGUUUCUUAGUACAGUGAAGUAUUUCUAUAUCGGACUAGCAAAUUCAAAUACGAGGCGUGAUCAUCCUCCCCCCUAUGAAAAAAAACUAGUUUUUUUUUUCAUCUAAAUAAACUUCAACAAGAUGUAUAAUCUUCAUCAGAAUCGGCCGAUGAUGAGAUCAAUCGUAACCGUGGCUCGCAAUGGUUAUUGCUUUUUCGCUGUCCAGUUGCAAUAUUCCAGUCUGUGGGAGUAAUGUAGUGGCCUCUAGGUAUACGUCCUGAAACCACCCAACCUAAUACUGAGUUGACCAACGUCGGAAGACCAUGGCCCAAUGGAAUCCGCCCACGGGGAUUGAACAAAUCAAAAAACACUUCCGCUCCUAGGACCAUAUCCACUCGUUGAGGCAUCCAAAAUCCAGGAUCAGCCAACUGAAUAUCAGCUGGUAUGUUCCAAUGUCGAGUACUGAUUGGUUCCGACGGCAGCUUCAUUGUUAUUUUCGGCAUUACGAAGAAAUCCAAAGGAGCAUAAUAAUUGUUGAUUCUUGAUUUAACAACCGCAUUCACCCUCUUCUUAACCGUCGUAGUUCCUCCUGCGAUUCCCAAAAUCUGCUGAUGGACGGAGUCAUGCUUCAGCUGAACACGUUGAAAUAGAUUCUCACUCAUGAAACACGCUUGUGAGCAUGAAUCCAAUAAUGCACGAGCCUGAUGACAGUUUCCCUUGUUGUCGACAAUGUUGACCACUGCAGUUAUCAAUAGCACCUGACCUUUCCGUUGAUCACAAUUCUUCUCCGUAGUUGUAACGUUUGCUACUAAUGCUACGUCAUCAUCUCGAGCACCGGUUGUGCUAGAUUGAGGCAAAAUAUCAACAGAGUUGUUGUCCAGACACAGAAGAGUAUGAUGACGUGAACCACAUCUACGACACGAAAACUUCGAAGGACAAGUUCUGCAUGUGUGCCCCUUGCCCAAACAAUUACGACACAGUCCAUGCCUUCUGAUCUCUUCCUCUUUCUCUGUAGGACGAAGCCCUGCAAACACAGAGCACCAUCGUAGUAAGUGGUCACCACGGCACAAAAAACAUUUCGGCUCCGACACACGAAGCGCAGACAUGCUCACUAAUCUGGAUCCAUCACAUUUCCUGGUCGUAGUGUUCUGCUCCAUACAAACCGAUUCCAAUAUUUGUACACGACGUCGCAAGAAUUCGAGCAGUUCUGUUACUGUGUCUGUAUCUCUUUUGGACGAUUCUUCUUCCCAAGUGCGGCGCGUACACGUAUCCAAUUUUGUUGUCAACAAGUGUAUCAUUAGUAGAUGUUUGUAAUCAGCAUCCUCCACAAUUUGAUCCAGUGUUUUUAUCGCCCUUUCGAAGUUGUCAGUUAAAUCAUGGAGUUCUCGGGCAUUCUCGCGUUUUAGCUCGGGAAGCUCGAACAGUGCUUGCACUUGCUUACGUUUCAGCAUUUUCUUGUUGGAAUAUCGCGCCGUGAGAAGAUUCCAAGCUACAGUGUAGUUGGCUGGUGUAAGUGGUAGCGAACUUAUCACAUUCAAUGCCUCUCCAUCGAGUUGCGAACGUAGAUAAUGGUACUUUUCGAUGGUGGGCAGCUCAGCUGAGCUAUGGACGAGAGCAACAUACAGAUCACGGAAUGCAAGCCAUUCUUCUAUGUCCCCAGAAAAUCUAGGAAGUGUAAUUCUGGGCAACUGAACCUUCGGAACCAACUGCUGAACUACGAGGGAUUCAUUCAAACGAUGUGACCUUUCUAGACUCAGUGGAUCCUGAUCUAAUUGGUUGACGAGGAACUCCUUAAUCCUGUAGUAUUUCUUCUCGUACGUGGUUUUCUCAUUCAGCAUUUGACAGGACAACACGAGCGCAAGUAACUGAUAAUCAAGUAAGGAUAACGGUCGUAAUAGUGCGUCCGGACUACAUGAACAACUACAUUGGAAGCAAAAUGAUGUGUGGGGAAAGGAAUAGGAGUGGAUUUGACCCAAUUAUCCAUAUAUGACUACAAAGUUCAUUGAAACGUGUGGCAAAAAAAAUGAGUUAUAUAGCAGUAAAACUAAUAAAUAAGCAGAACAUUGGCGUCUCGUAA